GCACGGUGGCUUAGUGGUUAGAACGUUUGCUUCGCACCUUCAGGGUUGGGGGUUCAAAUCCCACAUCAGAGCC
Molecule: non-coding RNA, 73 nt
Organism: Ameiurus melas (black bullhead)
Lineage: Eukaryota; Metazoa; Chordata; Actinopteri; Siluriformes; Ictaluridae
Source: the annotation of a GenBank genome assembly